AUGGAAUAAAUCCAUCGGGUUUCACCCGAAUCAUCCACCUUACAACCUUGUCACAAACAUUUAUACAGGAUCGCUUUGCAUAGAGCUUCAGAUAUUACACACAGACGUUGAAUGUAGAUCAGGAAAACAAGACCAGAGUUAUUACAUAAUAAGCAUAACCCUAGUGCAAACUAGGUCUAUAGAGUUUCAAAACGGAUCCUACGGUUGUAGGGUUUGAUUGUUAAUCUGGCUCUAUUAUAACAAGAUUUUGAAAUAUUCUAAAGGUGUCUCGACUCCGCGUACCCUCUAGGUCUUGAGGUCUUGACUUCAGAGCUCC
This 316-nucleotide long non-coding RNA is filed under the name Panicum hallii. RNAcentral's name for it is "long non-coding RNA (PHAL_LNC000400)". The record is from RNAcentral. Lineage: Eukaryota; Viridiplantae; Streptophyta; Magnoliopsida; Poales; Poaceae.